UACACAGUAUAUAUGUAGAGGGUAGUAGAGGAAGAGCGCGGUAAUCGGCGCCAGUGGGAUCGUGGUGGUUGAAGGAGUUGCUGUUGUUAGUGUCUGUGGUCAGCACGUAGUGCUCUCCCUUUUUUAAAACAAAAUUCGACAUGGCUGACCAACUUACUGAGGAGCAGAUUGCUGCUACCACGAAAAUUUUUGGAAUCCUAUGUCAAAGCUAACUCCUAUCAGUGACCACACUCAACUACUUGGUGUCUUCAAGUUGCUAAGAAACAGUAUUACAUCAGUUUCCACACGUGGAGGUGUUACAGUUGCAAGCCUGAACAUGCUGGCACUGUGGCUGACUACAUUCAUUAGAUUGAUUGGUGUAUUGUCAAACUUUGAGGUAAGCAGUGGAGUGAAGUGCCUGUUGCUUGGUUUAAAUGUUGAAGCAUUAGUGGGAUGUGCCAGGAUGUUAGCUAUUGCGAUCUGACAACAUGGAGGCUGUAUGGGUAGAGUGGAGAAAUAACAACAAGGGGCAAAAAACAUUUGUGGGUGUCAUGUAUAGAUGCCCCAAACUGUAUUGGUGAUGUUGGGAAUGGCAUCUCUAAUUUCCUGUUUAAUGCAUGGGAUAAGGGAAUAUUGGUGAUCAUGGGUGACUUUGAUCUGCACAUUGAUUGGGCAAAUUAAAUUAGCCACAAUGCUGUAGAGAAGGAAUUUCUGGAAUGUAUACAGGAUGGUUUUCUUGACCAAUGUGUGGAGAAACCAACUAAAAACCAGGCCAUCUUAGACUGGUACUGUAAUGAGAAGGGAAUCAUUACCAAUCUGCCUGUGAGAGAACCCUUGGACGAGCAAUCAUAACAUAAUACAUUUUUGUUUAUCAAGAUGGUGAGUGAGAUAAUUGAUUUGGACACUAGCGUGCUCAACCUUUAAAGGAAAGUAUGAAAUAGGGUGCUAAUCUUAAUGAAGGAAACUCUGAAGAUAUGAGGGAUGACUUGGCCUUGGUAGAUUGGGGAGAGUGACUGAAAGGAAUGACAGUGGAUAGGCAAUUGCAAAUAUGCAAGGAAUACAUGUGGGAACUGCAACUACAAAAAAGUGGCUCAGUGGUUAGCACUGCUGCCUCAGUGUUAGCAACCUAGGUUUGAUUCCAGCCUUGGGCAGAUCUAAAGUGUCCCAGAACGUUGUUGAGGAAGGAAAUUGAGAUCCCUUGCAGAAAUAUUUGCAUCAUCUACAACUACAGGUGAGGUGCCUGAUAACUGGAGGCUGGCUAAUGGUUGUAAGGAAAAACCAG
Rhincodon typus (whale shark) is the source of this 1261-nucleotide long non-coding RNA. RefSeq lists it as uncharacterized. NCBI's taxonomy places the organism in Eukaryota, Metazoa, Chordata, Chondrichthyes, Orectolobiformes, Rhincodontidae. The record is from RefSeq and is a predicted model, not a curated record. The transcript has 3 exons.